This 253-nucleotide ribosomal RNA is filed under the name uncultured bacterium. RNAcentral's name for it is "partial 16S ribosomal RNA". It matches the Rfam family "Bacterial small subunit ribosomal RNA", at positions 524 to 776 of the family's 1533-position model. The record is from RNAcentral.
UACGGAGGGGGCUAGCGUUGUUCGGAAUGACUGGGCGUAAAGGGCGCGUAGGCGGUUUAUUAAGUGAGGCGUGAAAGCCCUGGGCUUAACCCAGGAUGUGCGUUUCAUACUGAUAGGCUAGAGUGCGAGAGAGGAAAGUGGAAUUCCUAGUGUAGAGGUGAAAUUCGUAGAUAUUAGGAAGAACACCAGAGGCGAAGGCGGCUUUCUGGCUCGCAACUGACGCUGAGGCGCGAAAGCGUGGGGAGCAAACAGG